RNAcentral lists this ribosomal RNA (596 nucleotides) under Metarhizium anisopliae. RNAcentral's name for it is "eukaryotic LSU rRNA". The stretch from base 200 to 353 matches the Rfam family "5.8S ribosomal RNA". Lineage: Eukaryota; Fungi; Ascomycota; Sordariomycetes; Hypocreales; Clavicipitaceae. The record is from RNAcentral.
UCCGUAGGUGAACCUGCGGAGGGAUCAUUACCGAGUUUACAAAACUCCCAAACCCCUGUGAACUAUACCUGUCACUGUUGCUUCGGCGGUACCGACCCCCCGGGAAACCGGGACCAGGCGCCCGCCGGGGAUCCUAGUAACAUCUUGAAUCUUCUAUAUAAUAUGGCAUCUUCUGAGUGGUGGGAAAAAAAUGAAUCAAAACUUUCAACAACGGAUCUCUUGGUUCUGGCAUCGAUGAAGAACGCAGCGAAAUGCGAUAAGUAAUGUGAAUUGCAGAAUUCAGUGAAUCAUCGAAUCUUUGAACGCACAUUGCGCCCGUCAGUAUUCUGGCGGGCAUGCCUGUUCGAGCGUCAUUACGCCCCUCAAGCCCCCUGUGGGUUUGGUGUUGGGGAUCGGCGAAGCUUUUUUCAGCACGCGCCGUCCCUUAAAUUUAUUGGCGGUCUCGCCGUGGCCUUUCCUCUGCGCAGUAGUAACUCACUCGCAACGGGAGCCCGGCGCGGUCCACUGCCGUAAAACCCCCCAAUCAACUUUGUUACAGUUGACCUCGAAUCAGGUAGGACUACCCGCUGAACUUAAGCAUAUCAAUAAGCGGAGGA